This 542-nucleotide ribosomal RNA is filed under the name uncultured bacterium. Its description in RNAcentral is "partial 16S ribosomal RNA". It matches the Rfam family "Bacterial small subunit ribosomal RNA", at positions 355 to 889 of the family's 1533-position model. The record is from RNAcentral.
UGGGGAAUUUUGGACAAUGGGCGAAAGCCUGAUCCAGCAAUGCCGCGUGUGUGAAGAAGGCCUUCGGGUUGUAAAGCACUUUUGUCCGGAAAGAAAUCCUUGGCUCUAAUACAGUCGGGGGAUGACGGUACCGGAAGAAUAAGCACCGGCUAACUACGUGCCAGCAGCCGCGGUAAUACGUAGGGUGCAAGCGUUAAUCGGAAUUACUGGGCGUAAAGCGUGCGCAGGCGGUUUGCUAAGACCGAUGUGAAAUCCCCGGGCUCAACCUGGGAACUGCAUUGGUGACUGGGCAGGCUAGAGUAUGGCAGAGGGGGGUAGAAUUCCACGUGUAGCAGUGAAAUGCGUAGAGAUGUGGAGGAAUACCGAUGGCGAAGGCAGCCCCCUGGGCCAAUACUGACGCUCAUGCACGAAAGCGUGGGGAGCAAACAGGAUUAGAUACCCUGGUAGUCCACGCCCUAAACGAUGUCAACUAGUUGUUGGGGAUUCAUUUCCUUAGUAACGUAGCUAACGCGUGAAGUUGACUGCCUGGGGAGUACGGUCGC